UACGUAGGGGGCAAGCGUUGUCCGGAAUCAUUGGGCGUAAAGCGCGUGUAGGCGGUCCGAUAAGUCGGUUGUGAAAGUCCAGGGCUCAACCCUGGGAUGCCGACCGAUACUGUCGGACUAGAGUUCGGAAGAGGCGAGUGGAAUUCCCGGUGUAGCGGUGAAAUGCGCAGAUAUCGGGAGGAACACCAAUGGCGAAGGCAGCUCGCUGGGACGUUACUGACGCUGAGGAGCGAAAGCGUGGGGAGCGAACAGG
This 253-nucleotide ribosomal RNA is filed under the name uncultured bacterium. RNAcentral's name for it is "partial 16S ribosomal RNA". It matches the Rfam family "Bacterial small subunit ribosomal RNA", at positions 524 to 776 of the family's 1533-position model. The record is from RNAcentral.